Molecule: ribosomal RNA, 425 nt
Filed under: uncultured bacterium
Lineage: Bacteria
Description: bacterial SSU rRNA
Rfam family: Bacterial small subunit ribosomal RNA
Source: RNAcentral
GUGGGGAAUCUUGCGCAAUGGGCGAAAGCCUGACGCAGCCAUGCCGCGUGAAUGAUGAAGGUCUUAGGAUUGUAAAAUUCUUUCACCGGGGACGAUAAUGACGGUACCCGGAGAAGAAGCUCCGGCUAACUUCGUGCCAGCAGCCGCGGUAAUACGAAGGGGGCUAGCGUUGCUCGGAAUUACUGGGCGUAAAGGGCGCGUAGGCGGACAGCUUAGUCAGAGGUGAAAGCCCAGGGCUCAACCUUGGAAUUGCCUUUGACACUGGCUGUCUUGAGUUUGGGAGAGGUGAGUGGAACUCCGAGUGUAGAGGUGAAAUUCGUAGAUAUUCGGAGGAACACCAGUGGCGAAGGCGGCUCACUGGCUCGAUACUGACGCUGAGGUGCGAAAGCGUGGGGAGCAAACAGGAUUAGAAACCCCAGUAGUCC